RNAcentral lists this unclassified non-coding RNA (338 nucleotides) under soil metagenome. Its description in RNAcentral is "partial contains 5.8S ribosomal RNA, internal transcribed spacer 2, and large subunit ribosomal RNA". The stretch from base 1 to 120 matches the Rfam family "5.8S ribosomal RNA", at positions 35 to 154 of the family's 154-position model. The record is from RNAcentral.
GAUGAAGAACGUAGCGAAAUGCGAUAAGUAAUGUGAAUUGCAGAAUUCAGUGAAUCAUCGAAUCUUUGAACGCACAUUGCGCCCGGCAGUACUCUGCCGGGCAUGCCUGUUCGAGCGUCAUUUCAACCCUCAAGCCCUGCUUGGUGUUGGGGUCCCACGGCCGCCGUGGGCCCUGAAAGGAAGUGGCGGGCUCGCUACAACUCCGAGCGUAGUAAUUCAUUAUCUCGCUUAGGGCGUUGGGUGGCGCUCCUGCCGUUAAAGAACCAUCUUUAACUCAAGGUUGACCUCGGAUCAGGUAGGAAUACCCGCUGAACUUAAGCAUAUCAAUAAGCGGAGGA